This 64-nucleotide transfer RNA is filed under the name Trialeurodes vaporariorum (greenhouse whitefly). RNAcentral's name for it is "tRNA-Val". The record is from RNAcentral. Lineage: Eukaryota; Metazoa; Arthropoda; Insecta; Hemiptera; Aleyrodidae.
AAAUAAAUAACUAAGGCAAGUUUAUCUCUUACAACGAUAAAAUGAUUAUAAAAAUCUUUAUUUA